GUUCACUGUAGCCCGGGUGUUAGGAACCUGCCUGAACGAGGCCCGAGACUGAUGGGCAGAGCAAAGAGUCAUCCAUGGCUGUCAGAGGAAGAGGAAGGCCUGGCAGCACGCUACGUCUGAUUCCAAACCUCAGCCCAGCGUCUGGACACCACAAAAAUCCUGGUCCCCAGAGCCGGGCCUGGGAGGGUGCACUUUGAUCGGCGUGGAGCUGGAGACACAGUGCUCCUUCAGCUACUUUGCUAAUUCACCAGGUCGCUGAUUUUCCUGAAUUCUGGCGUCAAAACAUCCCAGGGUUCUUUUUGGAGCCCACACAGCCGAACAAAGCUGUGUCGUGGAAAACCCAGGGGGACCAAGGAGCCCGAGGCCUAACGAACAAGGGUGCAUUUUGCAAUUCCAAGGAAGCACGUAGAGGGGUGGCCAGAUUUCAGGAGGGGCAGACCCCGUGCCACCAGCCAUGCCCCCGCCCCUCCUAGCAAUCAGUUCCUUCUCAAGCUUUAGAAAUCCAAGCCUUGCAUCUGUGCUCACCGAGCGGCCUUUAGUAGACACCACUCAGAGGCCAUAGGGCUGUGCAUGGCAGGUGACAGCUGUUCCCUUGACUUUCUGGAGGAGGAAAUUAACUCUGAGGUUGUAAAACCAUGAUAGGAACUGAAACUGGCCCAUUUCUGCCUCAGCCUCCCAGCCUUCUUAUUUAGAAGCACGCGCAUAGGCACUCACCGUGGCCUCACUCACCCAGCAGAGGAUGGCUGGGUAAAGCCUUGCUCAUCUUCUGCCAGCAACAUUCGUUUGGCAUACACAGUGCUCGUCUGCAGUUUGGCUGGUGGGCAGCGUUACGUGUGAGAAAACCCACUUUUAAGCAAAUCCGGUGCUUAUCAUCCUAAGAAGUGGCAGGCAUGUGUAACAGGAGUCUCCCUCACUGGGCCAUGUGGCAAUGCUCCAUUUUGUCUUUCCUGGGCAGUCAGCAAGUUGGAGUCUCUCACAGGAAUAAAUCACAUUUGUUGCUGAGUAUCAUGCUGGGGAGUUUGCGUGGAGAACAGCCCAGCAGAGCUGCUAUACUGUCACCCUCUUUUUGGCUUUCUGUGGUUUCGGUGCCUGUACACACAUGUCCAUGGGGAGAAAAUGACAUCUGCAUGUAUCACACACUCUCCCCAGCACGGCUUCUGCUGAGGUCGGUGGCUUCAUCACCGAGGGAAGGCUGGCUCCAUGAAAGCUGUGUUGAGUUUUACAGAACUUCUGGAAAACCUAGACCACUAGCUGUCAUGCUGUAACCUGUGUACCUUUACAUCUGUUUUGACCCUAAAUUCACAAACCUAAAAUUUAAGGCAAAUAAAUCAUGAAACAUAAGCUUGCGUGAAGACA
RNAcentral lists this long non-coding RNA (1356 nucleotides) under Ursus maritimus (polar bear). Its description in RNAcentral is "lncRNA (ENSUMAG00000018545.1)". Lineage: Eukaryota; Metazoa; Chordata; Mammalia; Carnivora; Ursidae. The record is from RNAcentral.